This 497-nucleotide ribosomal RNA is filed under the name uncultured bacterium. RNAcentral describes it as "partial 16S ribosomal RNA". It matches the Rfam family "Bacterial small subunit ribosomal RNA", at positions 28 to 507 of the family's 1533-position model. The record is from RNAcentral.
GAUGAACGCUGGCGGCGUGCCUAAUACAUGCAAGUCGAGCGAACAGACGAGGAGCUUGCUCCUCUGACGUUAGCGGCGGACGGGUGAGUACCACGUGGAUACCCUACCUAUAAGACUGGGAUAACUUCGGGAACCCGGAGCUAAUACCGGAUAAUAUAUUGAACCGCAGGGUUCAUUAGUGAAAGCCGGUUUUGCUGUCACUUAUAGAUGGAUCCGCGCCGCAUUAGCUAGUUGGUAAGGUAACGGCUUACCAAGGCAACGAUGCGUAGCCGACCUGAGAGGGUGAUCGGCCACACUGGAACUGAGACACGGUCCAGACUCCUACGGGAGGCAGCAGUAGGGAAUCUUCCGCAAUGGGCGAAAGCCUGACGGAGCAACGCCGCGUGAGUGAUGAAGGUCUUCGGAUCGUAAAACUCUGUUAUUAGGGAAGAACAAAUGUGUAAGUAACUAUGCACGUCUUGACGGUACCUAAUCAGAAAGCCACGGCUAACUACGUG